ACUCCUACGGGAGGCAGCAGUGGGGAAUAUUGCACAAUGGGCGCAAGCCUGAUGCAGCAACGCCGCGUGAGCGAUGAAGGCCUUCGGGUCGUAAAGCUCUGUCCUCAAGGAAGAAUAAAUGACGGUACUUGAGGAGGAAGCCCGGCUAACUACGUGCCAGCAGCCGCGGUAAUACGUAGGGGCAAGCGUUAUCCGGAAUCACUGGGCGUAAAGGGUGCGUAGGCGGUUUUUCAAGUCAGAAGUGAAAGGCUAUGGCUCAACCAUAGUAAGCUUUUGAAACUGUUAAAACUUGAGUGCAGGAGAGGAAAGUGGAAUUCCUAGUGUAGAGGUGAAAUUCGUAGAUAUUAGGAGGAACACCAGUGGCGAAGGCGACUUUCUGGACUGUAACUGACGCUGAGGCACGAAAGCGUGGGAGCGAACAGGAUUAGAUACCCUGGUAGACUGUCA
RNAcentral lists this ribosomal RNA (447 nucleotides) under uncultured bacterium. RNAcentral's name for it is "bacterial SSU rRNA". It matches the Rfam family "Bacterial small subunit ribosomal RNA", at positions 335 to 802 of the family's 1533-position model. The record is from RNAcentral.